This is a small nucleolar RNA of Molossus molossus (Pallas's mastiff bat), 128 nucleotides long. RefSeq annotates it as small nucleolar RNA SNORA17. The record is from RefSeq and is a predicted model, not a curated record. NCBI's taxonomy places the organism in Eukaryota, Metazoa, Chordata, Mammalia, Chiroptera, Molossidae. The transcript has a single exon.
ACUGCACCCAGAGGCGUUGCAGGUGUGGCUGCUGUGCCCAUUUGCGUCAUGAGGUGGCAGAGAGCAGAGAGGCUGGUGUUCGCUCAGCGUUCUGGCCGUGAACGUCUGAAGACUGACGGCCUGACACU